GAUUGCAAAUGAACAAUUUGCCGAAAUAUGCAUAUGUUUGUUCCAAACAUUUCAGCACCGAAAACUUAAUAAGAGGCAGUAAGAGAACCACACUUUCUAAAUAUGCAGUUCAUCGAAUUAGCGAGUUUGAAAGACCUGAAUUGAAAAGAAGUUCCAGCACGGAAACUGCAAGUUCCAGAACAGUAACAAUCCCAGACACUGAUAAUCAAAGUUUCAGCCUAUUGUCUUCUCCCAAAAAAUUCUUAAUUAAACGUGUAAUUGAGAGUCUCCCAGAAAGUCGAGAAUAUGCAUUCAAA
Harmonia axyridis is the source of this 296-nucleotide long non-coding RNA. RefSeq lists it as uncharacterized. The record is from RefSeq and is a predicted model, not a curated record. The transcript has 3 exons. NCBI's taxonomy places the organism in Eukaryota, Metazoa, Arthropoda, Insecta, Coleoptera, Coccinellidae.